AAGGCUUGACAUGUAUUGCUAAGCACGCGAAAGCGUGUGACCCUUCGGGGACCUUACACAGGUGCUGCAUGGCCGUCGUCAGCUCGUGUCGUGAGAUGUUUGGUUAAGUCCAGCAACGAGCGCAACCCCUGUGAAUAGUUGCCAGCACGUAAUGGUGGGGACUCUAUUCAGACUGCCCGGGUCAACCGGGAGGAAGGUGGGGAUGACGUCAGGUCAGUAUGGCCCUUACGCCUUGGGCUGCACACGUACUACAAUGCCCAGUACAAUGAGAACCGAUCCCGCGAGGAGGAGGAAAUCUAAAAAACUGGGCCCAGUUCGGAUUGGAGGCUGCAACUCGCCUCCAUGAAGUUGGAAUCGCUAGUAAUGGCACAUCAGCUACGGUGCCGUGAAUACGUUCCCGGGUCU
RNAcentral lists this ribosomal RNA (405 nucleotides) under uncultured bacterium. Its description in RNAcentral is "bacterial SSU rRNA". It matches the Rfam family "Bacterial small subunit ribosomal RNA", at positions 976 to 1381 of the family's 1533-position model. The record is from RNAcentral.